Molecule: ribosomal RNA, 484 nt
Filed under: uncultured bacterium
Lineage: Bacteria
Description: partial 16S ribosomal RNA
Rfam family: Bacterial small subunit ribosomal RNA
Source: RNAcentral
AUUGAACGCUGGCGGCAGGCCUAACACAUGCAAGUCGAGCGGAUGAAGGGAGCUUGCUCCUGGAUUCAGCGGCGGACGGGUGAGUAAUGCCUAGGAAUUUGCCUGGUAGUGGGGGAUAACGUCCGGAAACGGGCGCUAAUACCGCAUACGUCCUGAGGGAGAAAGUGGGGGAUCUUCGGACCUCACGCUAUCAGAUGAGCCUAGGUCGGAUUAGCUAGUUGGUGGGGUAAAGGCCUACCAAGGCGACGAUCCGUAACUGGUCUGAGAGGAUGAUCAGUCACACUGGAACUGAGACACGGUCCAGACUCCUACGGGAGGCAGCAGUGGGGAAUAUUGGACAAAGGGCGAAAGCCUGAUCCAGCCAUGCCGCGUGUGUGAAGAAGGUCUUCGGAUUGUAAAGCACUUUAAGUUGGGAGGAAGGGCAGUAAGUUAAUACCUUGCUGUUUUGACGUUACCAACAGAAUAAGCACCGGCUAACUUCGUG